This 1828-nucleotide ribosomal RNA is filed under the name Stenotrophomonas sp. Sm3147. Its description in RNAcentral is "partial 23S ribosomal RNA". It matches the Rfam family "Bacterial large subunit ribosomal RNA", at positions 353 to 2180 of the family's 2925-position model. The record is from RNAcentral. Lineage: Bacteria; Pseudomonadati; Pseudomonadota; Gammaproteobacteria; Lysobacterales; Lysobacteraceae.
GGCCAUAGAAGGUGAUAGCCCUGUAUCUGAAAGGGCCAUUUCAGUGAAGACGAGUAGGGCGGGGCACGUGAAACCCUGUCUGAACAUGGGGGGACCAUCCUCCAAGGCUAAAUACUACUGACCGACCGAUAGUGAACCAGUACCGUGAGGGAAAGGCGAAAAGAACCCCGGAGAGGGGAGUGAAAUAGAACCUGAAACCGUGUGCGUACAAGCAGUAGGAGCUCCGCAAGGAGUGACUGCGUACCUUUUGUAUAAUGGGUCAGCGACUUACUGUUCGUGGCAAGCUUAACCGUAUAGGGGAGGCGAAGGGAAACCGAGUCUGAUAAGGGCGCAUAGUCGCGGGCAGUAGACCCGAAACCGGGUGAUCUAGUCAUGCCCAGGGUGAAGGUGCGGUAACACGCACUGGAGGCCCGAACCCACUCCCGUUGCAAAGGUAGGGGAUGAGGUGUGAUUAGGAGUGAAAAGCUAAUCGAACCCGGAGAUAGCUGGUUCUCCUCGAAAGCUAUUUAGGUAGCGCCUCAUAUGUAUCCUCUCGGGGGUAGAGCACUGUUAUGGCUAGGGGGUCAUCGCGACUUACCAAACCAUUGCAAACUCCGAAUACCGAGACGGACUGUAUGGGAGACACACGGCGGGUGCUAACGUCCGUCGUGAAAAGGGAAACAACCCAGACCCACAGCUAAGGUCCCAAAUUUUGUGCUAAGUGGAAAACCAUGUGGAAAGGCACAGACAGCCAGGAGGUUGGCUUAGAAGCAGCCACCCUUUAAAGAAAGCGUAAUAGCUCACUGGUCGAGUCGGUCUGCGGGGAAGAUUUAACGGGGCUAAGCACAGAACCGAAGCUUGGGGUGCAUAACUUAGUUAUGCGCGGUAGAGGAGCGUUCCGUAAGCCGUUGAAGGUGGAUUGAGAAGUCUGCUGGAGGUAUCGGAAGUGCGAAUGCUGACAUGAGUAACGAUAAUGCGGGUGAAAAACCCGCACGCCGAAAGCCCAAGGUUUCCUUGCGCAACGUUAAUCGGCGCAGGGUGAGUCGGCCCCUAAGGCGAGGACGAAAGUCGUAGUCGAUGGGAAGCAGGUUAAUAUUCCUGCACCUCGCGUAAGUGCGAUGGAGGGACGGAGAAGGUUAGGUGUACCAGGCGUUGGUUGUCCUGGGGAAAGGCGGUAGGUUUGGAUCUUUGGCAAAUCCGGGAUCCUUUAAGACCGAGCACCGAGACGAGCCUUUAAGGCGAAGUCACUGAUACCACGCUUCCAGGAAAAGCUCCUAAGCUUCAGCUUACGCAGACCGUACCGUAAACCGACACAGGUGGGUAGGAUGAGAAUUCUCAGGCGCUUGAGAGAACUCGGGUGAAGGAACUAGGCAACAUGGCACCGUAACUUCGGGAGAAGGUGCACCCUUUUUGGUGGCUCGUGCGAGCUAUAGCUGAAGAGGGUCGCAGUAACCAGGCCGCUGCGACUGUUUAUCAAAAACACAGCACUCUGCAAACACGAAAGUGGACGUAUAGGGUGUGACGCCUGCCCGGUGCUGGAAGGUUAAUUGAUGGGGUCAGCCGCAAGGCGAAGCUCUUGAUCGAAGCCCCAGUAAACGGCGGCCGUAACUAUAACGGUCCUAAGGUAGCGAAAUUCCUUGUCGGGUAAGUUCCGACCUGCACGAAUGGCGUAACGACAGCGGCGCUGUCUCCACCCGAGACUCAGUGAAAUUGAAAUCGCUGUGAAGAUGCAGCGUUCCCGUGGCAAGACGGAAAGACCCCGUGAACCUUUACUAUAGCUUUACACUGAACGUUGAGUUCGUCUGUGUAGGAUAGGUGGGAGGCUAUGAAACCAUGGCGCUAGCUGUGG